CCGAGAGGAGGGGCUGCUUGCCUCUCUCCUGCAGCAGAACCUCAGCAGGCGGGCAAGGCGCAGAGCUUCAGGGUUCCCAGCUCCCAGGGGCUGUGGGUUUAGGCAGCCUGGGAGGAGUUUCUGGGACUGCCCGGUAUCGGAUCUGGGUGGGACACCCUGCACUCAAUCAUUAGUCCCCUGAAGCUCUGACAGCAGCCAGCCAGCAUCAGAGCCUUGGCCACAGGCUGGACUCCAUCCUGGGGCAGAUUCUCAGGAAGGAAUCGCAGGAGACCCAGUCCGCGUGUACAGUCACCCUGGGACUAAUGAGGUACACGUGAGAGUGAGAUAGACGCUGGGGCUUCCCUGAGCAUCAGCCUCAUGCUCCUCUGAGUCUCUUGUCAUUUUGCUCCUCCUGAGAUGGGGGAAGCAGGUGGAAAGCCGUGGAGGCUACAGGUCUCACCUGCUCUAUCAGGCCGCUUCUCAUUUCAAGUUCACAUUUCCCCCACAAUAUCGAACCAACCGCAAAGAGCUGGGAUCCAAACAGUGGCUCCCACUUGCAGAACACACUCAGCUUAGUUAGGGCUGAGUGGAUGGGGGAGUGAGAUUCAUUACCAGCAGAUGGGGAAACUGAGGCAAGAUAGUGUCCUCAAAGCCUGGACUGAGACUCACUCCUGUCACUAUUUAACUCCCCCAGCCCCACCCUGUUUAAGGAGAAAGGGUCUUACUGCACAUUCUGGGCUAGCCUAAAGCUUGAACUCCUCCUCCAUCUCCUUCAGGAUUAUAGGGAUGCAUCACCAUACCAGCCUAGCUCUUUAUUAUAUUGAUGGUCAAACCAAUAAGGAGCACCCCUGACCUAUGGCCUCUUCCUCAGCUCCUGCCUCCAGGUUCCUGCUGUUUCAGUUCCUGUCCGGACUUCCUUUGAUGCUGAACAGGGUUACGGAUGUGUGAACAGAAUAAACACUUUCCUCCCCAACUUGCUUUUUGGUCAAGGUGUUUCACAGCAGCGAUAGAAACCCUAAGACAUUUGAUUUAUGUUUGUUUGGUUUUUGUUUUGUUUUGAAACAGGGUUUCAUACUGUAAUCUAGGUUGGCUUCAAACUUGUGGCAAUCCUCCUGCCUCAGUCUGGUAUACUAGGAUCACUGUAUGAGCUACCAGGCCUGACUUAGAAAGGCAAACUCUUGACUCACUCCUCUGUGGCUUAGGGGUGUGGCUCAGGGGGCCCUGUGCUUACAGCCCUCUCUACUGUGCUAAGUUUGAAAGCCAUUGGCUGGAUUGGCAGGGGGUGGAGUGAAAGUGGGAUGGCAGGUCUGCCCUUUUUUAAUGGGCCAAAGGAUCAGACCCUUUCUCCUCCAGGAAGCCUGAAGAUCUUGCCUCUGUGGUUCGUGGGUAAGGGACAUAGACAGGUGACCUGGCAGUAGGGGAAUAGGAUUCACUGUCCCAGGGCAGGUUUGUGUUAACUCAGGCCUGUCCAUUUGUGGUACCUCAGGGGUCCAGAGACAAAAAUGGAUUCUGUUUUUUUUUUUUUUUUUUUUUUUUUCUCACUAACCCCACAGUUUACAGAACCACAGGCUUCUGAUUAGAAUGGGUGGUCAGCCGGUUUCUCAGAUAGUAUUUGCCUGGCAGGGUGAACUUUGUCCUGGCAGCUGCUCCUACAUUCCAGGGAGGCCCCUGAGCUGACUAAUGGUCUCCUGGGAGGGGACUGAUGGAACGCUUCCGGGUCACUGGGUACAGUGGUACCUGCUUCUCACAGCAGCCUCAGAAGGUAUAGUGUCUUCCUCACAGGAGUUAGAAAACAGCCUAAGAGCCACAGCUCAACACCACAGCCAAGGCAGAAGAGCCAGGAUUCAGGUUCUGAUCUACCUCUUUCAAAAACCGGUCUUUCAGCUGCUGGAAAUAGUUGCAAGGUGUCGGACCUGCCUAGGAAUGUGUCCUUUCAGCAGAAGUGGAAUGUUUUCCACGGUGACAGACAGGGCCAGAGCAUGGGGGACAGGAAGAGGUUCUUCCAGCCCUGCCGGGGUACUAGUGUUCUCAUUUCCCUGCCUCAACAGGUAUAUGGAGUAACAGAAAUGUGAGGUCCCCUGCUCCAACUAGGGAACCCAGGUCACUGAGCCAGCCUCUGUAUCUGUGAGUGUCUACGAAGCUUGAGGCAGGGGUAGCCAAUGGGCUGGUGGGAGAGGUUUAGGAUUGGGCGUGAUGCCUUGGAAUGGGUGUCUGUCAUCAUCCUGGAUUCCCCAGAGAAUUGCCCAGGGAGGACUUCAAGCUCCCUGCUCUCCCUUAGUCUGUCAAAUCUUCAGGCCCUGUGGGUCGUCUUUGCUUCACAAGGUCCCCACACUGAACUGUGAGGAACCACAUUUCUAUUUCAUUGCUGUGUAUCUAAGGCAGACUCCACGGUCUGCAGUGGCUGUGGGCCCGAGCGAGUCCUGUGCCCUCUCAGAGAAGAACUGUAAGCCAACUCUUCCCAGCUCCCCAGUGGCUUCACUGUGGAUACCGUUUCUUCUGUCAGACAUAAUUGAGUCAGAUGAUGCUGAAAACAACUGACCCCUAGGGUCCUGUGUCUUCGGGACUGUGGAGACCCAGCCCUCAAGGUUACCAGAUGGGUGGGAAGAGAAGGCGGCGGCAGCCCCAGGAGCAAUGAGCAGCAAAGGGUCUUCUUAAUGUGAGGGCUUCUUCACACAAGGCCUGGUGCACAGCAGGAACCAGAUAAAUGCAGAGAAAUCCAGGAACCACCUUUUGGGCUCCCCGGGGUCUCUCUAUUAUUUGACAGGAUAACCACAAGACAUCUCAGGCAGAGAUCCAGAUCCAGUACUGGCAUCUGUGAAGUCUGCAUGGAGGCCAGAGACAAGCAGCUUGCUAAAGCCACGCAGCAAACACCAGUAUCAGAGCCUCUUAAGCCCAAGGCCCUGCCUGACUCUGAUUGCUGCAAUCAUCACUGUUAUCCUAUUUACUGAGCACCUAUGCCGUCCCGGGUACCUGUGGUGACUAUACAGACAGAGAAGAGCUGGUCUCCGUUUGCUACUCCCAAACCUUUGCCCCCAUGACCACCUCUUCUAGGAAGCCUUCCUUCCCCAAACACCUCCUGAGGUCAGCAAAAGACCUUGGUAGCCAUAAGACUCCCUUCCAGUGUUAUUCCACAGAAACAGCAUUGUGGAGAGAGAUCUCUCCUGUGGGUGGCCCUGACACUGAGGUUCUGAGCCUUAAACUCCCUCCAGGCCUUUUAAGCACCACACUGUUGCUGUGACCUCUGACCAUAACCACACUCAACACGCACAGCACUGGCUAUACUACCCAUGCCCAGUGGCCUGGCAUUUGACUUCAAAACUGGUGGUCCCAGCUCACAGCUGUGUUCAUGGCUACACCUAGCUUGUGGGUGGAGGAGGCUUCGUAGGUGAGAAAAUGGAGGUUCACCUAUGGCUAUCUCUGUGCAGGCCCUUUCUAGGAACUUUGUAAGCAUUGGCUCUUAAUUAUGUCAUCAACCAAAUGGUACCACCAUUAUACUAACGAGAAAAACCUA
Rattus norvegicus (Norway rat) is the source of this 3490-nucleotide non-coding RNA. NCBI's taxonomy places the organism in Eukaryota, Metazoa, Chordata, Mammalia, Rodentia, Muridae. The record is from RefSeq and is a predicted model, not a curated record.